GGUCUCAUAGCUCAGUGGUUAGAGCAUACGAUUGCAGCUUUCAUUUGCUUGCUAUCGUGUGGUCGCGUGUUCGAACCACGCUGAGACUU
Molecule: transfer RNA, 89 nt
Organism: Laetiporus sulphureus 93-53
Lineage: Eukaryota; Fungi; Basidiomycota; Agaricomycetes; Polyporales; Laetiporaceae
Rfam family: tRNA
About the family: Transfer RNA (tRNA) molecules are approximately 80 nucleotides in length. Their secondary structure includes four short double-helical elements and three loops (D, anti-codon, and T loops).
Source: Rfam